This 240-nucleotide ribosomal RNA is filed under the name uncultured bacterium. RNAcentral's name for it is "partial 16S ribosomal RNA". It matches the Rfam family "Bacterial small subunit ribosomal RNA", at positions 91 to 334 of the family's 1533-position model. The record is from RNAcentral.
ACGGGUGGCGGACGGGUGAGUAAUGUCUGGGAAACUGCCUGAUGGGGGGGGAUAACUACUGGAAACGGUAGCUAAUACCGCAUAACGUCGCAAGACCAAAGAGGGGGACCUUCGGGCCUCUUGCCAUCGGAUGUGCCCAGAUGGGAUUAGCUAGUAGGUGGGGUAACGGCUCACCUAGGCGACGAUCCCUAGCUGGUCUGAGAGGAUGACCAGCCACACUGGAACUGAGACACGGUCCAG